GCUGGCGGCGUGCUUUACACAUGCAAGUCGAACGGAAAGGCCCUGCUUGCAGGGUACUCGAGUGGCGAACGGGUGAGUAACACGUGGGUGAUCUGCCCUGCACUUCGGGAUAAGCCUGGGAAACUGGGUCUAAUACCGGAUAGGAGCCAUUUUUAGUGUGAUGGUUGGAAAGUUUUUUCGGUGUAGGAUGAGCUCGCGGCCUAUCAGCUUGUUGGUGGGGUAAUGGCCUACCAAGGCGGCGACGGGUAGCCGGCCUGAGAGGGUGGACGGCCACAUUGGGACUGAGAUACGGCCCAGACUCCUACGGGAGGCAGCAGUGGGGAAUAUUGCACAAUGGGCGCAAGCCUGAUGCAGCGACGCCGCGUGGGGGAUGACGGCCUUCGGGUUGUAAACUCCUUUCGCUAGGGACGAAGCUUUUUGUGACGGUACCUAGAUAAGAAGCACCGGCUAACUACGUGCCAGCAGCCGCGGUAAUACGUAGGGUGCGAGCGUUGUCCGGAAUUACUGGGCGUAAAGGGCUCGUAGGUGGUUUGUCGCGUCGUCUGUGAAAUUCCGGGGCUUAACUCCGGGCGUGCAGGCGAUACGGGCAUAACUUGAGUACUGUAGGGGUAACUGGAAUUCCUGGUGUANCGGUGAAAUGCGCAAAUA
RNAcentral lists this ribosomal RNA (648 nucleotides) under uncultured Actinomycetes bacterium. RNAcentral's name for it is "bacterial SSU rRNA". It matches the Rfam family "Bacterial small subunit ribosomal RNA", at positions 35 to 696 of the family's 1533-position model. Lineage: Bacteria; Bacillati; Actinomycetota; Actinomycetes. The record is from RNAcentral.